Molecule: ribosomal RNA, 253 nt
Filed under: uncultured bacterium
Lineage: Bacteria
Description: partial 16S ribosomal RNA
Rfam family: Bacterial small subunit ribosomal RNA
Source: RNAcentral
UACGUAGGUGGCAAGCGUUGUCCGGAAUUAUUGGGCGUAAAGCGCGCGCAGGCGGCCUUUUAAGUCUGAUGUGAAAGCCCCCGGCUCAACCGGGGAGGGUCAUUGGAAACUGGAAGGCUUGAGUACAGAAGAGAAGAGUGGAAUUCCAUGUGUAGCGGUGAAAUGCGUAGAGAUGUGGAGGAACACCAGUGGCGAAGGCGACUCUUUGGUCUGUAACUGACGCUGAGGCGCAAAAGCGUGGGGAGCAAACAGG